This 253-nucleotide ribosomal RNA is filed under the name uncultured bacterium. Its description in RNAcentral is "partial 16S ribosomal RNA". It matches the Rfam family "Bacterial small subunit ribosomal RNA", at positions 524 to 776 of the family's 1533-position model. The record is from RNAcentral.
UACGAAGGGGGCUAGCGUUGCUCGGAAUCACUGGGCGUAAAGGGUGCGUAGGCGGGUUUUUAAGUCAGAGGUGAAAGCCUGGAGCUCAACUCCAGAACUGCCUUUGAUACUGAAGAUCUCGAGUUCGGGAGAGGUGAGUGGAACUGCGAGUGUAGAGGUGAAAUUCGUAGAUAUUCGCAAGAACACCAGUGGCGAAGGCGGCUCGCUGGCCCGAUACUGACGCUGAGGCGCGAAAGCGUGGGGAGCAAACAGG